GCCAAAACCCUGAUUUGCUCUAAAACCUCAGGAAAUUGGCACACUCCAACUAUUCCAGCCUCCUUCUCCGGCCGAACAAAAAUGGAGUACGUUAAUCCUGAAGGUCUCCGUUUAGAUGGUCGCCGUCCAAUGGAGAUGAGACAACUUCGUGCUGAAAUAGGGGUUGUAUCGAGAGCAGAUGGUUCUGCCUCGUUUGAAAUGGGGAAUACCAAAGUCAUUGCAGCAGUUUAUGGUCCUCGGGAGGUUAAGAACAGGAGCCAACAGAUGAAUGACCAGGCACUGGUACGUUGCGAGUAUAGCAUGGCUAAUUUCAGCACUGGCGAUCGCCGGAGAAAAACAAAGGGUGACAGGAGAUCCACGGAGAUAUCUCUUGUUAUUCGCCAGACAAUGGAAGCUUGCAUAUUGACACACCUGAUGCCUCGCUCUCAGAUAGACAUUUAUGUCCAAGUCCUCCAAGCAGAUGGAGGUACAAGAUCAGCAUGCAUAAAUGCUGCCACACUGGCACUUGCUGACGCCGGGAUUCCCAUGCGUGAUCUUGUUACAUCAUGCAGUGCUGGAUAUCUGAAUAGCACACCUCUUCUUGAUUUAAACUACUUGGAAGACAGUGCUGGAGGUGCUGAUGU
Molecule: unclassified non-coding RNA, 623 nt
Filed under: Hevea brasiliensis (rubber tree)
Lineage: Eukaryota; Viridiplantae; Streptophyta; Magnoliopsida; Malpighiales; Euphorbiaceae
Source: RNAcentral